Molecule: ribosomal RNA, 2080 nt
Filed under: Escherichia coli
Lineage: Bacteria; Pseudomonadati; Pseudomonadota; Gammaproteobacteria; Enterobacterales; Enterobacteriaceae
Description: partial 23S ribosomal RNA
Rfam family: Bacterial large subunit ribosomal RNA
Source: RNAcentral
AUAAUGGGUCAGCGACUUAUAUUCUGUAGCAAGGUUAACCGAAUAGGGGAGCCGAAGGGAAACCGAGUCUUAACUGGGCGUUAAGUUGCAGGGUAUAGACCCGAAACCCGGUGAUCUAGCCAUGGGCAGGUUGAAGGUUGGGUAACACUAACUGGAGGACCGAACCGACUAAUGUUGAAAAAUUAGCGGAUGACUUGUGGCUGGGGGUGAAAGGCCAAUCAAACCGGGAGAUAGCUGGUUCUCCCCGAAAGCUAUUUAGGUAGCGCCUCGUGAAUUCAUCUCCGGGGGUAGAGCACUGUUUCGGCAAGGGGGUCAUCCCGACUUACCAACCCGAUGCAAACUGCGAAUACCGGAGAAUGUUAUCACGGGAGACACACGGCGGGUGCUAACGUCCGUCGUGAAGAGGGAAACAACCCAGACCGCCAGCUAAGGUCCCAAAGUCAUGGUUAAGUGGGAAACGAUGUGGGAAGGCCCAGACAGCCAGGAUGUUGGCUUAGAAGCAGCCAUCAUUUAAAGAAAGCGUAAUAGCUCACUGGUCGAGUCGGCCUGCGCGGAAGAUGUAACGGGGCUAAACCAUGCACCGAAGCUGCGGCAGCGACGCUGAUGCGUUGUUGGGUAGGGGAGCGUUCUGUAAGCCUGUGAAGGUGUGCUGUGAGGCAUGCUGGAGGUAUCAGAAGUGCGAAUGCUGACAUAAGUAACGAUAAAGCGGGUGAAAAGCCCGCUCGCCGGAAGACCAAGGGUUCCUGUCCAACGUUAAUCGGGGCAGGGUGAGUCGACCCCUAAGGCGAGGCCGAAAGGCGUAGUCGAUGGGAAACAGGUUAAUAUUCCUGUACUUGGUGUUACUGCGAAGGGGGGACGGAGAAGGCUAUGUUGGCCGGGCGACGGUUGUCCCGGUUUAAGCGUGUAGGCUGGUUUUCCAGGCAAAUCCGGAAAAUCAAGGCUGAGGCGUGAUGACGAGGCACUACGGUGCUGAAGCAACAAAUGCCCUGCUUCCAGGAAAAGCCUCUAAGCAUCAGGUAACAUCAAAUCGUACCCCAAACCGACACAGGUGGUCAGGUAGAGAAUACCAAGGCGCUUGAGAGAACUCGGGUGAAGGAACUAGGCAAAAUGGUGCCGUAACUUCGGGAGAAGGCACGCUGAUAUGUAGGUGAAGUCCCUCGCGGAUGGAGCUGAAAUCAGUCGAAGAUACCAGCUGGCUGCAACUGUUUAUUAAAAACACAGCACUGUGCAAACACGAAAGUGGACGUAUACGGUGUGACGCCUGCCCGGUGCCGGAAGGUUAAUUGAUGGGGUCAGCGCAAGCGAAGCUCUUGAUCGAAGCCCCGGUAAACGGCGGCCGUAACUAUAACGGUCCUAAGGUAGCGAAAUUCCUUGUCGGGUAAGUUCCGACCUGCACGAAUGGCGUAAUGAUGGCCAGGCUGUCUCCACCCGAGACUCAGUGAAAUUGAACUCGCUGUGAAGAUGCAGUGUACCCGCGGCAAGACGGAAAGACCCCGUGAACCUUUACUAUAGCUUGACACUGAACAUUGAGCCUUGAUGUGUAGGAUAGGUGGGAGGCUUUGAAGUGUGGACGCCAGUCUGCAUGGAGCCGGCCUUGAAAUACCACCCUUUAAUGUUUGAUGUUCUAACGUUGACCCGUGAUCCGGGUUGCGGACAGUGUCUGGUGGGUAGUUUGACUGGGGCGGUCUCCUCCUAAAGAGUAACGGAGGAGCACGAAGGUUGGCUAAUCCUGGUCGGACAUCAGGAGGUUAGUGCAAUGGCAUAAGCCAGCUUGACUGCGAGCGUGACGGCGCGAGCAGGUGCGAAAGCAGGUCAUAGUGAUCCGGUGGUUCUGAAUGGAAGGGCCAUCGCUCAACGGAUAAAAGGUACUCCGGGGAUAACAGGCUGAUACCGCCCAAGAGUUCAUAUCGACGGCGGUGUUUGGCACCUCGAUGUCGGCUCAUCACAUCCUGGGGCUGAAGUAGGUCCCAAGGGUAUGGCUGUUCGCCAUUUAAAGUGGUACGCGAGCUGGGUUUAGAACGUCGUGAGACAGUUCGGUCCCUAUCUGCCGUGGGCGCUGGAGAACUGAGGGGGGCUGCUC